AAAAAGACAAACCCUGAAUUUUCGUGUCCAACAUUUGACUAUCCGUCUUAUAUGAUUUUUUUUAUAAUUAAUAUUAUUGUUGUUAGAUGAUAAAACAUGAUUAAUACGCUUUAUACGUGACUUAUCUUUUUAAUUUUUUAAAUAUAUUAUUGUUGUUAGAUGAUAAAACAUAAUUAAUACGCUUUAUAGUGACUUAUCUAUUUAAUAUUUUAAAUAAGAUGGAAGGUCAAAUGUUAGAAACGGAAAUCGAGGGUUUGUCUUUUU
This is a non-coding RNA of Oryza barthii, 264 nucleotides long. NCBI's taxonomy places the organism in Eukaryota, Viridiplantae, Streptophyta, Magnoliopsida, Poales, Poaceae. The record is from Rfam.